CCUACGGGCGGCUGCAGUGAGGAAUAUUGGUCAAUGGGCGCGAGCCUGAACCAGCCAAGUAGCGUGAAGGAUGACUGCCCUACUGGUUGUAAACUUCUUUUAUAAAGGAAUAAAGUGAGUCACUUUUGCCUUUUUGUAUGUACUUUAUUAAUAAGUAUCGGCUAACUCCGUGCCAGCCGCCUCGUUAAUACUUAUUAUCCUAUCGUUAUCCUUAUUUAUUUGGUUUAAAGGGAGCGUAGAUGGGUUGUUAAGUCAGUUUUGAAAGGUUGCGGGGCAUCCGGAAAAGGGCAAGGGAGACGGGCAGCCUUGAGUACAGUUGAGGUAGGCGGAAGUCGGGGGGGAGCGGGGAAAGGCGGAGAUAGCACGAAGAACGCCGAUUGCGAAGGCAGCCUACGAAACGGCCACUGACAGUGAUGCGCGAAAGUGGGGGGAGCAAACAGGAGGAGAGACCCGGGGAGUC
This 460-nucleotide ribosomal RNA is filed under the name uncultured bacterium. RNAcentral's name for it is "partial 16S ribosomal RNA". It matches the Rfam family "Bacterial small subunit ribosomal RNA", at positions 338 to 795 of the family's 1533-position model. The record is from RNAcentral.